UUGCAGGCUGCAACCCGCCUGCAUGAAGCCGGAAUCGCUAGUAAUCGCGGAUCAGAAUGCCGCGGUGAAUACGUUCCCGGGUCUUGUACACACCGCCCGUCACACCAUGGGAGUCGAUAACGCCCGAAGUCAGUGACCCAACCGAAAGGAGGGAGCUGCCGAAGGCGGGAUGGAUAACUGGGGUGAAGUCGUAACAAGGUAUC
RNAcentral lists this ribosomal RNA (203 nucleotides) under uncultured bacterium. RNAcentral describes it as "partial 16S ribosomal RNA". It matches the Rfam family "Bacterial small subunit ribosomal RNA", at positions 1298 to 1500 of the family's 1533-position model. The record is from RNAcentral.